This 120-nucleotide ribosomal RNA is filed under the name uncultured bacterium. RNAcentral's name for it is "partial 16S ribosomal RNA". It matches the Rfam family "Bacterial small subunit ribosomal RNA", at positions 215 to 334 of the family's 1533-position model. The record is from RNAcentral.
GCGGUGAAGGAUGAGCCCGCGGCCUAUCAGCUUGUUGGUGAGGUAAUGGCUCACCAAGGCGACGACGGGUAGCCGGCCUGAGAGGGCGACCGGCCACACUGGGACUGAGACACGGCCCAG